AUGAACGCUAGCGGCAGGCCUAAUACAUGCAAGUCGAAGGGGCAGCAAUGUCACUGGCGCACGGGUGCGUAACACGUUUGGAAUCUGCCUCUGAUUGGGGGAUAGCCCGCCGAAAGGCGGAUUAAUACCGCAUAUGCUCGUGGGUUGGCAUCGACCAGCGAGGAAAGGCCGCGAGGCCGAUGAGAGAUGACCAUGCGUCUGAUUAGCUAGUUGGCGGGGUAAAGGCCCACCAAGGCGACGAUCAGUAGGGGACCUGAGAGGGCGAUCCCCCACACGGACACUGAGAUACGGGUCCGACUCCUACGGGAGGCAGCAGUAGGGAAUAUUGGGCAAUGGGCGCAAGCCUGACCCAGCCAUGCCGCGUGCCGGAAGAAGGCCCUCUGGGUUGUAAACGGCUUUUGACGGGGAAGAAACGACUCUUGCGAGAGGCACUGACGGUACCCGCAGAAUAAGCACCGGCUAACUCCGU
RNAcentral lists this ribosomal RNA (469 nucleotides) under uncultured bacterium. Its description in RNAcentral is "bacterial SSU rRNA". It matches the Rfam family "Bacterial small subunit ribosomal RNA", at positions 29 to 506 of the family's 1533-position model. The record is from RNAcentral.